RNAcentral lists this long non-coding RNA (5540 nucleotides) under Lynx pardinus (Iberian lynx). Lineage: Eukaryota; Metazoa; Chordata; Mammalia; Carnivora; Felidae. The record is from RNAcentral.
CGAAGGAACACUUUACAAAAGGGGGGCUCUGCUGAAAGGUUGGAAGCCCCGUUGGUUCGUGUUGGAUGUAACAAAACAUCAGGUAAUACUGUCAAAGCCUACAGAAAUCACUUUUCUCUAAGCCAGGCUCAGUCCCUGGCUGUUGUACAACUCUAAACAGACAGACACAUCCCUCAUGUUCAGACAAGGCCUCACAUAUGCUCCCUGUGGGCUUCUUCAAGGACUCAGCAUGUCCCUGAGUUAGGGCAGUAGCCUUCCGAGGGAAGGUCCAAAGUAGCUCUGCCUGAUAUAUACAGGCAGAGGCAGUGACACUGGGGCCCAGAGCAUUAAGAGCACUAGAACUCUGCUUUUCAUGCUCAAAUAUCUUCUGCUGCCUACUCUUAAAACCCAGGCCAGGAGAGGACCUGAGCUUUUCAGUGGGUUGCAUUCCACAUGCAUAUAUAGAGCCUGUGCUUGGGAGCAGUCCUCAGAAUACAGAUUACCUUCAUUUUUGCAGCAUAAAGCAUACAUUCAAAACUGAGGGCAUUAAUUUAUUUGACAAACAUUUAUUGCUCAUCAUGUACUGGUUACUAAAGAAAGCAUCAUUUUCCCUCAAAAUGAGAGCAACAGUGGAGAGAGGGGGCCCUGAAAUAGGCAGAAGGGGCUAUACCCACUCAAAGAGGGAAUUCUCACUGAGCAAGUACUAGCCUGAACCUCACUGGCCAUGUUGGGAAGUCCUUUGUCCAUUGUUAGGUUCUUAGCUAUUGCUACAGCAACCCCUGCAAUUCUUAGUAUCAUGAUCUUUGCUCCAGUAAUCUCAGGGGUGAGGGAUCCCUACCCAAACCUCCAGCCCCUCCAUACACUUCCAUGGUGACAUUCUCAUGGCCUCCAAAUAUUCUGACUGUGGACCUCACUCUACCUUGGAACUGACUGCUCAGCCUGAGGCAGAGGGGUACACAUCUUGAUUCUCAGUGCAUUCAUUUCUAAAAUGGACUCUGCUGAGAAAGAUACAAACUGGUACCCCUAUACAGUGCUCUGGUCGUACGUGCACCUAGGAAACUCUUUCCAGAUACAGAUUUGAAAUGGGGAUCACAUUUCCCUCUGCUCAGGGAAUUUCAUAAAAGUUACACAGUCUCUGUGGAAGAAUAUAGAGAAUUUAUUUACAAAUAUGCAAUGGAAGCCCUUGGUGGGGGGGGGGAAGGGGUUGUACUUUAAAAUAACAAUGUGUCUGAAAUCAUAGAGCCUACACUGUGGAGAAAAGUUCCAUUAAACCACUAAAUAUAACAUAGGACAAUGUCAUAAUUUUUCUGUAAUUUACAGUUACACCAAAUUAUACUUGCAUUCUUACGGAUCUUUUGGAUUUAACACGAAAGGUAUAUAGUUUUUCCAUUUAGACCUACUUAUACCAUGCCUGACUGGAGAGACAGAAAAGUCUGAGGCCAGAACCACAGUGACAGAGGCAUCAGACCCUUUCCUACUGUGUAAGUUAGAGAGUGAAAUCCAGACUCAUUUAGUUAGAGAGUGAUAUCCAGUCCUGGCAUGUGAUAACCACUCAGUCAAAUGGUGAGCUAUUUAUUGUUUUUCAAAAAUCAAUUUAAAUGUUUGUUUAUUUAUUUAUUUAUUUUGAGAGAGAGAUUGAGAGAGUGUGUGUGUGUGAGUGCAAGCAGCGAAGACGGACAGAGAGAGAGAGAGAGAGACAAUCUCAAGCAGGCUCCAUACAGUCAGCACGGAGCCCAAUGUGUGGCUUGACCCCACGAACCCAUGAGAUCAUGACCUGAGCUGAAAUCAAGAGUCAGACAUGUAACUGAGUGAGCCACCCGGGUGGUGCCCCUCAAAAAUCACUUUAGAUUUACAUGUGGUUUGGCAACUUGUAUUUUUUAUAUGGUAUAUCUUGAACAUACUUUCCUACCAGUUCAUAUAGAUCUUCCUUAUAAUUUUUGAAAAGCUAUAUACAGUAGUCUGUAUCAUUGAUAUAAUUAACCAUCAUUUAAUUAACCAACACCCCAAUGAAAGACAGAUACAUCUUUUCAGUUUUUACCUGAUCAAAACAGUGCUGAAGGAAACCUCUUUAUGUGUAUCUCUGCAUGCUUGUGGGAUUGUUUCUGUAGGAUACAUUUCUAGAGGUGAGAAGUUAUAUCAAUAGGCAUAAACAUUUUAAAUUUUAGAUGAUAUUGCCAAAUUGUCCAAAAAGUUUCUAACAAAUUAUAUUUCCACUAGCAAUGUUUGAGAAUACCUAGUGCCUUGCCCUCACCGUGAAUAUUUCUUAAUCUAAGUGAAAAGUGAAAUCUUACUGAUUACAUCCCUUUUCUUUCAUCAGUGAGGUUGCCCAUCUUUUUAAAUGUUUAUAGGUCUUUUGCAUUUCCUCUGUGACUUACCUGUUGAGAUUUUUUUGACCAUUUUUCUACUAAAUUGUUUAUCUUUUUCUUAUCAAUUUCUAGGAAUUCUGCAUAUUUUUCUAAACAACCUCUUUUAUAUGUUACAUAUAUUUUUUCCAAUUGUUAGCUGACAUUUAGUUUUAGUUUUUAACAUGUAAUACUUUUAUUCAUUCGAAUUUCAGAAAAAUAUGUCUUUUUCCUCCUUUCUGUCAGCCACCUAGUCCUCCUUCCGAAAAGCAACAGUGUUUUUAUUUUCUUGCUUAUUAUUUCAGACAGUUUAGCAAGGUACAGAGGCAAGUAUUCAAAUACAUUUUGAAAAGUCAUACCAUUUUCCUUUUCUGUGUCUCUUAUUUCCCAUCUGUAUCCUUUUGGUUCCAGCUGCGAUACUAUGACUCAGGUGAGGACACAAGCUGUAAAGGCCACAUUGAUCUGGCUGAAGUAGAAAUGGUCAUCCCUGCUGGCCCUAGCAUGGGAGCCCCAAAGCACACAAGUGACAAGGCUUUCUUUGAUGUAAGUUGAUCUCACUACAUCUCACUAGAAAACCUGGCUCUGUCUGUACAUGAUUCCUUACAAUCCAUCCACCUCCAAGAAUUAUAGGGCCUCAGAGCAAUUGGUGGUGACAGAUGAUAACCCCUUGGCUAUGGAAAUUGCUCCAGAACUUGAACUUAGCACUCGAUCCCCAAACCUGACAUCUCCAAACUGUCCAUCUCCAAGCUGUGGUGCGCUGCUUUGCACAAAGGACUCCUUUACUGGGUGUCCAGCCACACAUGGAAGCAGAUGAAUUCCUUGAUAAAAACAUUGUUAGUUAUUUUAUUCACCACCUAUUCAAGAACAGACACUACUUCCCUUUGGAUCCAGUGGUCUUCAUGUUUGACCAUCCAUAAAAAUUGUCCUUAGUCAUAUAUGAUGACUGUUGGUCCUAACAUCUUCAACAGCCCUUAGGUGAGCCUCAGGGCAUUUGAUGGGCCACAUGAUAGGGUUCUCACCCAGUUCCCAUAGCCAAGCAGGGUUUCAUAAAGAGCACAGCCACACUCAAGGGCUCUGCUCUGGCUAUGAGGCCAUUUACCUGAUUCCGGGCAUCCAGUGUGUCCCCAACUUAAGCCUUUAGAGAAGGGGAUGGAAACAGGACAAGAAAGACAACUUCUUGGUGGGGGUGAAUUUCCGGCUUCCCUGAGGAGCCCAGGGAGCUGCACUGCACUGCUCCCGGUGCAGUGCAUGGGAGAGGCUCCUGACCCUCCUCCUUAGGAGUAAGGGUCUCCUAGUAUGUCUCCUUUUUCUGCCAGUGUCAUUCUAUUAACAUCUACUGUGACUCUGGGGACCAAAGAAACAAAGUGACUAUAAUGGCAGUGACAGUAUGGUAGCGGAGGGAAGAGAAAACAUAGAGGUUUUGAAGCAGUACGGAGGGGAAGUUCACUGAGAUUGAUUCACACACUUGCCCAAAGCCAUAAAACAGGCCUGCCCUUCAUCUCUGCUUCUGUUCAUUUGGUUUUGUAGCUCAAGACCAGCAAACGUGUGUAUAACUUCUGUGCCCAGGAUGGACAGAGUGCCCAGCAGUGGAUGGACAGGAUCCAGAGCUGUAUCUCUGACGCCUGAUGCCCAUGGUCAACCCAAGCAAAAAAGAGGGAGGAAAGCCUCGUGCUGUCAGAUAGAAUAAAGUGCAUGAAUCCUUGAGGAGCUGACAGCUUCCUCUUUGGUUCUGAGGAGUCAUCCCAGGCCUGAGGUUCUUCUGCCCAGUCUUACCCAGUGCCCUCUUUGAACAAUUGCUAUGUCUGCUUAGCCUGAAUGAAUAUGUCACAGAGGUCUGGUCAAGAACCCCAGGCACUCCCUGUAUCUUGCACUAGGUUGUUCUAACAGGGUCUUAGUGGUUAGGGAUCAGAAGAAUGCUUCCUGAGCCAACUGUCACCCAUCCCCUAGAUAAAUGGUUUCUAUUUACUUGAGUCCUUCUUGAUGAAACUAGAUCCUUUUUAUUCCCCAAGGUCAUAAUUUCCUUGGAGAGCUUUCUGACAAGCAAAAAUCAAAACCCCGCCAACACUAUCUCAUGUUCUGCACAGAACAGAUUUCCCAGCAGAAUAGCUCCUACUCCUACUGCCUGACCUUAGAGAUGCUCAGCUAUCUGGUGCUGCCAAAAGGUGCUUCCAUAACCCCUGCUCGGCCAUGGGGGAUCACAGCAAGAACAUGAGUGCUCAGUGGCAGACGAGGAACACGCAGGAUUCUCCUGAAGGAGAAAGACGGUCCAGGGAAUGAUGCAACAAUGACAAGGCCAAUGCAGGAAAAUACUACUUUCAAAACACUGAAUUUUCUAGGCCACAGGUGCCCUGAGGAUCCAGGACUUUGUGUUCCUGUGUAUUCUUCUGUUCCCUGACAGCUCCUUACACAGAAUAACAUGCAAAAAGCUGAAUGCACUAACUCACAAACACUUGCACUGAACUCCUAAUGAAGUGAAGGUGUUGGAAAGACAGAAGCCAGCUGUCUACAAGCACAUUACACCUGUACCAGGGGCUGUGUCUGUGGCACAAUCAGAUACCCAAACAGCACUUGUGCACGUGAACAGUAAGAACUGUUUGUAGAUUUUCUCUACUUUUGAUAACCUUGUGUUUGUUCAGCUAAAGAUCCGAGGAAUGCUGUUUGUUCCCUGUGAGGAGCAGCAGCAUCUCUGCUACAGGCAUUGCAGCCCAACUGGAGUCAGAGGUAGCUAGAUCGCCGUUUUGAAAUGUUAAUAUGUUAAAUACCAAACUAAUAUUUCAAAAAUAUGUACAUACGAUUUCUAUAUCCUUGUUUUUCAGAUAGCCUACUUAUAAUUUAAUAUAAAAGUAACUGAUUCAUGCAUAAGAUUUCAGUAAUGAAAAUAGUUCCCUUUUUAAAAAAUAAAAAAAAAACCACUUUGUCUUUGUAGAUGAAAAAUAAAUCAGAUUUUCAAAUUUAAAAUUACCUACACGCUAGGAAAUAGACCUGUGUUAAUAUAUAAGAAAUUGGGGAUAAUAAGAAUGAAGGAUUUUUCUACCAUUUUCAUUUUAUAAAUUGCCACCUGUGAAAAUGAUUUUUGCACAUUAUUUGUAUUUUUUUCUUUGUAUAUGAAAUAAUUUUUUGUACUUUGUAAAAUACGGAGCCCAUUGUACCUUCAGCGAUUUGAGACUGUAUACAGUGCUUCUUUUAUAACUGGAUUCUUUUAACUUUCAUAAAGGUUAC